Molecule: ribosomal RNA, 1211 nt
Filed under: Artedidraco shackletoni
Lineage: Eukaryota; Metazoa; Chordata; Actinopteri; Perciformes; Artedidraconidae
Description: partial 16S ribosomal RNA
Rfam family: Bacterial large subunit ribosomal RNA
Source: RNAcentral
AGAUUUUUAGUUUGUAGACCCGAAACUAAGGGAGCUACUCCAAGACAGCCUAAUAAUAGGGCACACCCGUCUCUGUUGCAAAAGAGUGGGACGAGCUUUGAGUAGAGGUGAUAAACCUACCGAACUUAGUUAUAGCUGGUUGCCCAAGAAAUGAAUAGUAGUUCAGCCUCCCGGAUUCUCCCUUCACCUCAGUGAAUACACACCCCUGAUGUCUCAAGAAGCCGUGAGAGUUAUUCAAAGGGGGUACAGCCCCUUUGAAACAAGACACAACUUUCCCAGGUGGGUAAAGAUCAUAAUAGCACAAGGUAAGUAACUCUCGUGGGCCCGAAAGCAGCCACCCCCUGAAGAAAGCGUCUAAGCUCGGAACAAUCUUACUCCUCCCCCAAUCCUGAUCAUUUAAUCUUAUCCCCCUAAAACUUAUUGGGCCCGUCCCAUGCCUCCAUGGGAGCGACCAUGCUAAUAUGAGUAAUAAGAAAGCCAAGGCUUUCUUCCCGCCGCGUGUAAAUCGGAAUGGCCCCCCCCGAAUUUAACGGCCCAAACACAGAGGGCAGUGGCCGAUAACCAAACCACAGGAAAAUCCCCAACCCCUAACCGGUAACCCAACACAGGGGUGCCCCUAGGGGAAAAACUAAAAGGGGGAGAAGGAACUUCGGGAAACACAUAAAGCCUCGCUGGUUUACCAAAAAACAUUGGCUUUUUGCAAAUAAUGAAAUAAAAAGGGCCCCCUGCCCUUGUGACUAUUAAGUUUAACGGCCGCGGUAUUUUGACCGCGCGAAGGUAGCGCAAUCACUUGUCUCUUAAAUGGAGACCUGUAUGAAUGGCACAACGAGGGCUUAGCUGUCUCCUCCCCUAAGUUAAUGAAAUUGAUCUCCCCGUGCAGAAGCGGGGAUAAACACAUAAGACGAGAAGACCCUAUGAAGCUUUAGACGUAAGGUAGCCCAAACUACAAUGCCCCCCGAUAAGGAGACAAACCAAAAGGGUCCCUACCCCGAUGUCUUUGGUUGGGGCGACCGCGGGGAAAGAAAAAACCCCCACGUGGAACGGGAGUACAACUCCUUAAACUCAGAGCCACAGCUCUAAGAAACAAAAUUUUUGACCUAAAGAUCCGGCAAUGCCGAUCAACGGACCGAGUUACUCUAGGGAUAACAGCGCAAUCCCCUUUUAGAGACCAUAUCAACAAGGGGGUUUACGACCUCGAUGUUGGAUCAGGA